Long non-coding RNA from Gadus chalcogrammus (walleye pollock), 376 nucleotides. RefSeq lists it as uncharacterized. The transcript has 3 exons. NCBI's taxonomy places the organism in Eukaryota, Metazoa, Chordata, Actinopteri, Gadiformes, Gadidae. The record is from RefSeq and is a predicted model, not a curated record.
AUUCUGUCAUUGCCACUCAUUUAAGAAUCACAACAUUGAACAGCACCUGAUAUUCAUCAGGCCAUCAACAUUCCAGCUCAUAAGUUUCCAAGAAUCGGACUGCCAAGACACAAACUCUACGCCAUGUGACGCAGUGUUUGGUGUCUAUUUAAAGGACCAUUAUCUCACCCCCAGGUGUGAUGUUGAUUUGCAAUAACAAGUCAUUCUACCCGCCCGACCCACAUGAUCCCUCCAACCCCAUGAUGGAGAGAUCAACCAGCUGCUCUCCCGCUGCGUCCACCCGCUUCCAUCCCCCUCAUCCCGAAGGUUUGGGGUCUUCGGCCAUGAGCCUGCGGCGGUGGCGCUGAAGUCUCGUCUCGUCUCUGGAUCUCUGACA